AUGUUAAGUAAGCCAGGUUCA
Molecule: non-coding RNA, 21 nt
Filed under: Rattus norvegicus (Norway rat)
Lineage: Eukaryota; Metazoa; Chordata; Mammalia; Rodentia; Muridae
Source: RNAcentral